CUCGCCUUGCGUGCCCGCGCAUGACAUGUGAAAUUCCGUCAGCGAUCGAAUUGUCACGGACAGGCAAGGUCUGCGACGAGCGCGCAAACAUCCGCGUUCCGCGCUCAUUCCAAGAAAGGGGUAGCUGACAGUAAUCGCAGGCAAUGGCAUCUCGCGGUGCUGCCGCUUGUGCGAUCCGAUCCCGGGCACCCGAGGUGCAUCGGGUGUCGUCCGACAACGUCGCCUUGCAGGAAGAAGCGAAGAGUGUGCGAGAGCGCCGGCUGGCCUUGGAGGAGGUCAUGCGGCAGGAGCGGGCUCGGCGCCUGCAAGCGGCCGCAUCACGAACGACGGCGACGGCUAAUACGAGCCACUCUUCCGGCUGUGCGGCCCCGCCGAGAGAGCAGCAGAAGGGCGAGGCCGUCGACUCCAACCGCGCUCCGCAAACGCUGGAGGAGUACCGCCGUGAGCUUGACAAAGACUGUCGCAACAAGGAGCUCCUUCGACUACACUACUACACUAGCGGGCAUCUCAACCCGGCUGAUGUGCACUUUUACACUGUCAAGAGCAGGGUGAAAGAGUACCAGCGCCGCGCACCGAGCCCGCCGCCGUCGGAAAGGGCGCGGCGUCUGCUGUUGCCAACGCGCAAGGCUCACCUGGAAACAGAGAUGACGCAGCCGUCGACGCGGGCGCUCGAGACGAUCUCCGUGCUGGAGGGCACCUCAGAGCAGUGGACAAAGUCUGCUCUUCUCCGGAUGCAGGCUAAUCAGCACGUGCUCCGGCGUAUCGAAGAGCGCGAAAGGAAGGAAGCAGCGCACAUCGGCCGACCCAUUGUGCGGGGAACGACGGCUCCUGCCGGUCGACUCAGCGCCCUACCGCAGCCGUACAAUGCACCGGUGACGACGAGCGCAAUGGCGAGCCGCCCUGUGCACGUCGCGGAAGCUGCCGUGCCAGCAUGCGAUGCGCCCCGGUUCCUGGCAGUGGACAGGAGCUACACAGCCACCGCCCCUACGUGGCGGUGGAGUCCGCUUCGCCAGCGUAGUCCACGGAAGACGUACCUGACCACUAGUCCACUGCGUCUACGCGGGCGUGCGGCAUCGCCGGCCGCAGCGCAGAGCGACUCCCUGUUCAAGACCUCUCUCAUCGACGGCUCCUCAGCCCCCUUGCAUAUGUCUCGCACAGUUUCCUUCCCUCCCACCUCCGCUGGACACAAUGGGCGUGCUACGUGCUCGUGGAGGCCGCUGGAGUAUAGCGGUACGGCACACCUCGAGGGCCGCCGCAGUUGGCCGGCCUAUAAGCCUAUUGCAGAGCAGCUGCCCAGCGCGCCGUCGGAGAGCCCCGGCACCUGGGCCGAACUAACGCAGAGCCGGUCGCACCCGAGGCAAGGUCUAACAGCACUGUCCCCUCCACCUAGAGACUACAGCGCCAGGGAGACGGGCGAAGGUGCGCCAAGCGUGCCGACCGUCGGCCCUCCCAUUACGAAGCCGAAGCCAACGCUGCUUAAUGGUUUCCGCAUGCCGGACACAGUCCUGAAGCGGGAGGACCUCUUCCAGGGCUUCAUCUGACGUUCGCGCACCGCUCCAACUGCGACAAAUUCAAGGCAACUGCGCAACCCUCUUUUGUCUCCCUCCCUCUCACUCCGACGCGCAGCUGGGCACGGCACGGGGCGAGGUCGGGAGGGGGGGAUUGGUGGUGCGCUUAGGAAGGAGACAGAGGCGUGCAGAGUGAACCUCGUUCUUCGUCCCCUCACUCCCGGUACCGACAUUCCAAUUUGGUUCGUGGGUGGGUUUGGGGCCACCGUCAUGUCACACGCGCCCAUCCUCGCACCAUCGUUCAACGGCGACGUCUGUGGGCAUACGUGCGCAUCUGUGCCCUGUGUGCGUGUAUGUGUGCUGCUCCUUGGGUAUCGCUGCUCCUCUUGUUCUGGGGCAAUCCUGCACCACUAGACGCGUAGACCAG
This 1935-nucleotide unclassified non-coding RNA is filed under the name Leishmania donovani. Its description in RNAcentral is "gene:LdHU3.34.6280(CDS-product:hypothetical_prote in_conserved)". The record is from RNAcentral. Lineage: Eukaryota; Euglenozoa; Kinetoplastea; Trypanosomatida; Trypanosomatidae.